Molecule: long non-coding RNA, 994 nt
Organism: Erinaceus europaeus (western European hedgehog)
Lineage: Eukaryota; Metazoa; Chordata; Mammalia; Eulipotyphla; Erinaceidae
Exons: 3
Source: RefSeq, a predicted model, not a curated record
UAUCAGUGUUUAUGAAUGUAAUCAAUAUAAAGGAGAAGGGAGAAGACAUGUGUGACACCAAGGAGGACAAGAAAUCAAGCUAUGCACUUUGCUUUUCACUCCAAGUCAUUUCCAUCAGGAGCAACAUAAUGGGCUCCUUUGUGCACCCCCCCCACCAUAGGACCUUGACCUCAAUGUGGACCAACAAUGGUAGAGAAUGUUCCAUCCUCCAAAGGGAGGUUGGAUAACAUACUCUACCACCUGAGGAAGAUGGGUCCUGAAAUUUGUGCAAAUUGUAACAUUCCUACUCAUGACCACAAAAUGUGAGCUCGGAUCUACAGGGAUGCAGAGGUUAUGAAGGCUCCUGUGCUGAAUAUGGACCUCAGAUCAAAUCAACGAGGUUUACAAUCAACAAUACUUAUACACUUUUCCCAUAUUUGGGAGCUACUCUCUUCCCUGAUUCAGGUUUCUAGCCCUUUUUACAGCCAUGAUAUCAUCUCCCCAGACAAUAACUUGGGUCUACCUGCAAAUCAAAUUCCAGGCUCAGGAAAAAACUGCCACCAGGUUCCAAUGCUACCAUGAUGCCAACUGGACUUCCCUGGGCAGAUGACCCAAAAAAUGUGUCCUGGAGCUUCCCCAGACUUCUGCCCCAUUAGGGAAAGAGAGAGGCAGGCUGGGAGUAUGGAAUAACUUGUCAAUGCUCAUGUUCAUCAGGAAGCAAUUACAGAAACCAGACCUUCCACCUUUUGUACCCCAUAAUGACCCUAGGUCCAUACUCCCAGAGGGUUAAAGAACAGAAAAACUAUCAGGGGAGGGGAUUGGAUAUGGAGUUCUGAUGGUGAGAGUUGUGUGGAGUUGUACCCCUCUUAUCCUAUGGUCUUGUCAAUAUUUCCAUUUUAUAAAUAAAAAUUUUUUAAAAAAGAAAGAAACUCAGGCUAUACCCAGCUGCUGAAGUCCUAAGGCAAGGUAACAGAUUUAAAAGUAAUUUUCAAAGUCUACAAGGUGCAGAUUCUAA